UCAAAUCCAUACAAGAAAAGGCUUACAAAUUUUACCAUAUUCAUACUGAUACAUAAUAAUCGCAUAAUUAUUUUUCACCAUCGAUAAUAUUAGCUUUAAGUUAUUGUUUUUUUCUCAACGAACAAAAUCACCUUAAAAAGUCUCACGCAUUGCGACUAUCAAUUUUUUAGUUGUUAAUUAAUUUUUAUUCAUCAUUCGGGAUUUAUAUUUUACAUUCGUAUUUCUUUUGAAAUAUUGUCUAAAAAUCGCGUGUAAUAUUACGUGGCGUGAGUUGUUAUUAUACACGGUAAACGCGAUUAUGUCUGUUACGAGAAGUUCAAGGAUGCGUAUAUAAAUAUUAUAUGUACAUUAUAUAUACUAUAUUGUUAAACUAACACGAGGAGGUUAUUGCAUAACGAAUAUUCCGAUUUUUUCAAAUUUAUUCAAAUGCAGGAUCGUUAUUACCGAUACAAUUAUCUACGCCUCUCAUUAGCAUAAACAUUUGAGUGAGAAAAAACUGCGAUUUCGUCAAAAUCGGCGAAAGCUUAUCGCAGGAAAUAUAAUAUUUGCGUAUAUCGAUCCUGCAUUGUUUCUAUUUCAUCAAAGCCUUAAUAUUAUAUCGUAAUUCUUUCCACGUAGCUCAUAAAUUGGACUAUUAUUUUCUUUUUUUACUUUCAUAAUACCUUCCUCUUUACCGAGAUAUGAAAAAGUCCGAAUUUUUUUUUUUAGCAAUUCGGUAAUACGCGGUAUGCAGUAAUCUCGAUCUACGAACAAAAUUAUACGCACUAUGCACUGUAAAUAAUGUUCUUUUUUUCGUAAUAAAAUCAUAAAAGUUAUAGCCUCAACAGUUAUA
This is a long non-coding RNA of Diprion similis, 832 nucleotides long. RefSeq lists it as uncharacterized. Lineage: Eukaryota; Metazoa; Arthropoda; Insecta; Hymenoptera; Diprionidae. The transcript is spliced from 3 exons. The record is from RefSeq and is a predicted model, not a curated record.